Molecule: ribosomal RNA, 209 nt
Filed under: Pneumocystis carinii
Lineage: Eukaryota; Fungi; Ascomycota; Pneumocystomycetes; Pneumocystales; Pneumocystaceae
Description: partial large subunit ribosomal RNA
Rfam family: Bacterial large subunit ribosomal RNA
Source: RNAcentral
UUUUAUAGUAUCGUUAUUAAUAGGUAUAGCACUGAAUAUCUAAUAUAAUUAAAAGAGAGUACGAAAGUAUUUUUCUUAGAUAUUUAAUCUCAGAAUGAUUAAUAUACGAAGUAAAGGGUCAGACUUUAUGCGAUAAGGUAUAAAGUCGAGAGGGAAACAGCCCAGAAUAAUAAUUAAAGCUCCAAAGUUAUUACUCAGUGAAAUAAAAG